AUGUCUGGCAUGGUUGAUGUACCCGAACAUCUCAUGCCAACAAUUACUCUUGGACGUUUGCUUCACCAUUUCCUUUUUCUGCUUGAGUCCCAAGUGGUGGUUUUGGUUGUGCAUUCGGGUCAGGCAGUGGUUGUGGAUUCGGGUCUGGUAAUGGUUGUGGGUUUGGAUCAGGUUGCGGUCCUGGUAAUGGCUGAGGGUUUGGGUUUGGCUGUGGGUCCGGCAAUGGCUUCGGGUUUGGGUCUGGUAAUGGUUGCGGGUUUGGAUGAGGUUGUGGUCCUGGUAAUGGCUGAGGGUUUGGGUUUGGCUGUGGGUUCGGCAAUGGUAUCGGGUUUGGGUCUGGUAAUGGUUCUGGGUUUGGAUCAGGCUGUGGUCCUGGUAAUGGCUGAGGGUUUGGGUUUGGUUGUGGGUCCGGCAAUGGUUUUGGGUUUGGGUCUGGCUGCGGUCCUGGUAAUGGCUGAGGGUUUGGGUUUGGUUGUGGGUCCGGCAAUGGUUUUGGGUUUGGGUCUGGUAAUGGUUGUGGGUUUGGAUCAGGCUGCGGUCCUGGUAAUGGCUGAGGGUUUGGGUUUGGUUGUGGGUCCGGCAAUGGUUUUGUGUUUGGGUCUGGUAAUGGUUGUGGAUUUGGAUCAGGCUGCGGUCCUGGUAAUGGACGAGGGUUUGGGUUUGGCCGUGGGUCUGGUAGUAGCUGCGGGUUUGGGUUUGGCCAUGGGUUCAUCAACCGUUGCAGGUUUUGGCCUGGCAAUGGUUGUGGAUUUGGGUCAGGGUGUGGUCCUGGUAAUGGUUGAGCAUUUGGAUCAGGUUGUGGCUCAGGCAGUGGUUGUGGGUUUGGAUUAG
Molecule: ribosomal RNA, 831 nt
Filed under: Triticum aestivum (bread wheat)
Lineage: Eukaryota; Viridiplantae; Streptophyta; Magnoliopsida; Poales; Poaceae
Description: partial small subunit ribosomal RNA
Source: RNAcentral